Molecule: ribosomal RNA, 763 nt
Filed under: uncultured bacterium
Lineage: Bacteria
Description: bacterial SSU rRNA
Rfam family: Bacterial small subunit ribosomal RNA
Source: RNAcentral
CUUAGAGUUUGAUCCUGGCUCAGGAUGAACGCUGGCGGUAUGCUUAACACAUGCAAGUCGAACGGUGUCUUCGGACAUAGUGGCGGACGGGUGGGUAACGCGUGAGAAUCUAGCUUCAGGUCUGGGACAACCACUGGAAACGGUGGCUAAUACCGGAUGUGCCGGAAGGUGAAAGGCUUGCUGCCUGAAGAUGAGCUCGCGUCCGAUUAGCUAGUAGGUGGGGUAAGAGCCUACCUAGGCGACGAUCGGUAGCUGGUCUGAGAGGAUGACCAGCCACACUGGGACUGAGACACGGCCCAGACUCCUACGGGAGGCAGCAGUGGGGAAUUUUCCGCAAUGGGCGAAAGCCUGACGGAGCAAUACCGCGUGAGGGAGGAAGGCUCUUGGGUUGUAAACCUCUUUUCUCAGGGAAGAACACAAUGACGGUACCUGAGGAAUCAGCAUCGGCUAACUCCGUGCCAGCAGCCGCGGUAAUACGGAGGAUGCAAGCGUUAUCCGGAAUGAUUGGGCGUAAAGCGUCCGCAGGUGGCUGUGUAAGUCUGCUGUCAAAGAGCAAAGCUCAACUUUGUAAAGGCAGUGGAAACUACACGGCUAGAGUGCGUUCGGGGCAGAGGGAAUUCCUGGUGUAGCGGUGAAAUGCGUAGAGAUCAGGAAGAACACCGGUGGCGAAGGCGCUCUGCUAGGCCGCAACUGACACUGAGGGACGAAAGCUAGGGGAGCGAAUGGGAUUAGAUACCCCAGUAGUCCUAGCUGUAAACGAUGG